GACGAACGUUGGCGGCGUGCUUAAUACAUGCAAGUCCACUGAAGCAGUGGUAGCAAUCUCGCUGUGGAGGUGGCGCACGGGUGAGUAACACGUAGGUAAUCUGCCUUCAGGUCUGGCAUAACUCCGGGAAACCGGGGCUAAUAGCAGAUGAUGCAGCGGCUCGACAUCGAGACAGUUGUUAAAGCUAUGGCGCCUGAAGAUGAGCCUGCGUCUGAUUAGCUAGUUGGCGGGGUAACGGCCCACCAAGGCAACGAUCAGUAGCUGGUCUGAGAGGAUGAUCAGCCACACUGGAGCUGAGACACGGUCCAGACUCCUACGGGAGGCAGCAGUAAGGAAUAUUGCUCAAUGGGAGAAAUCCUGAAGCAGCAACGCCGCGUGAGGGACGAAGGGCUUUUGCUUGUAAACCUCUGUAGUGAGAGAAAAAAAUCCCAAUCUUUGGGACAUGAUGGUAUCUCAAAAGUAAGCCCCGGCUAACUACGUG
This 481-nucleotide ribosomal RNA is filed under the name uncultured bacterium. Its description in RNAcentral is "partial 16S ribosomal RNA". It matches the Rfam family "Bacterial small subunit ribosomal RNA", at positions 28 to 507 of the family's 1533-position model. The record is from RNAcentral.